RNAcentral lists this ribosomal RNA (447 nucleotides) under uncultured bacterium. RNAcentral's name for it is "partial 16S ribosomal RNA". It matches the Rfam family "Bacterial small subunit ribosomal RNA", at positions 29 to 523 of the family's 1533-position model. The record is from RNAcentral.
AACGAACGCUGGCGGCAGGCUUAACACAUGCAAGUCGAACGCAUCGCAAGAUGAGUGGCAGACGGGUGAGUAACGCGUGGGAACAUACCCUUUUCUACGGAAUAGCUCUGGGAAACUGGAAUUAAUACCGUAUACGCCCUACGGGGGAAAGAUUUAUCGGGGAAGGAUUGGCCCGCGUUGGAUUAGCUAGUUGGUGGGGUAAAGGCCUACCAAGGCGACGAUCCAUAGCUGGUCUGAGAGGAUGAUCAGCCACAUUGGGACUGAGACACGGCCCAAACUCCUACGGGAGGCAGCAGUGGGGAAUAUUGGACAAUGGGCGCAAGCCUGAUCCAGCCAUGCCGCGUGAGUGAUGAAGGCCUUAGGGUUGUAAAGCCCUUUCACCGAUGAAGAUAAUGACGGUAGUCGGAGAAGAAGCCCCGGCUAACUCCGAGCCAGCAGCCGCGGUAA